AAGAACUGCCGCAGGCUGCGAUCUUUUGACCUUGAUUAUUAAAAACAAGAUCAACAGAUCGCAGCCUGCGGCAGCUCCU
Molecule: non-coding RNA, 79 nt
Filed under: Pseudomonas sp. GV085
Lineage: Bacteria; Pseudomonadati; Pseudomonadota; Gammaproteobacteria; Pseudomonadales; Pseudomonadaceae
Source: RNAcentral